AGUGAACGCUGGCGGUAGGCCUAACACAUGCAAGUCGAACGGCAGCACAGUAAGAGCUUGCUCUUACGGGUGGCGAGUGGCGGACGGGUGAGGAAUACAUCGGAAUCUACUUUUUCGUGGGGGAUAACGUAGGCAAACUUACGCUAAUACCGCAUACGACCUACGGGUGAAAGCAGGGGAUCUUCGGACCUUGCGCGAUUGAAUGAGCCGAUGUCGGAUUAGCUAGUUGGCGGGGUAAAGGCCCACCAAGGCGACGAUCCGUAGCUGGUCUGAGAGGAUGAUCAGCCACACUGGAACUGAGACACGGUCCAGACUCCUACGGGAGGCAGCAGUGGGGAAUAUUGGACAAUGGGCGCAAGCCUGAUCCAGCCAUACCGCGUGGGUGAAGAAGGCCUUCGGGUUGUAAAGCCCUUUUGUUGGGAAAGAAAAGCAGCAGGUUAAUACCCCGCUGUUCUGACGGUACCCAAAGAAUAAGCACCGGCUAACUUCGUG
RNAcentral lists this ribosomal RNA (492 nucleotides) under uncultured bacterium. RNAcentral's name for it is "partial 16S ribosomal RNA". It matches the Rfam family "Bacterial small subunit ribosomal RNA", at positions 29 to 507 of the family's 1533-position model. The record is from RNAcentral.